RNAcentral lists this ribosomal RNA (498 nucleotides) under uncultured bacterium. RNAcentral describes it as "partial 16S ribosomal RNA". It matches the Rfam family "Bacterial small subunit ribosomal RNA", at positions 29 to 523 of the family's 1533-position model. The record is from RNAcentral.
AUUGAACGCUGGCGGCAUGCCUUACACAUGCAAGUCGAACGGUAACGCGGGGCAACCUGGCGACGAGUGGCGAACGGGUGAGUAAUGUAUCGGAACGUGCCCAGUUGUGGGGGAUAACUGCUCGAAAGAGCAGCUAAUACCGCAUACGACCUGAGGGUGAAAGCGGGGGAUCGCAAGACCUCGCGCAAUUGGAGCGGCCGAUAUCAGAUUAGGUAGUUGGUGGGGUAAAGGCUCACCAAGCCAACGAUCUGUAGCUGGUCUGAGAGGACGACCAGCCACACUGGGACUGAGACACGGCCCAGACUCCUACGGGAGGCAGCAGUGGGGAAUUUUGGACAAUGGGCGCAAGCCUGAUCCGGCCAUGCCGCGUGCGGGAAGAAGGCCUUCGGGUUGUAAACCGCCUUUGUCAGGGAAGAAAAGACUCCUGUUAAUACCGGGGGUUCAUGACGGUACCUGAAGAAUAAGCACCGGCUAACUACGUGCCAGCCGCCGCGGUAA